GACGAACGCUGGCGGCGUGCUUAACACAUGCAAGUCGAACGCUGAAGCUCAGCUUUUGUUGGGUGGAUGAGUGGCGAACGGGUGAGUAACACGUGAGUAACCUGCCUCCUUCUUUGGGAUAACGCCCGGAAACGGGUGCUAAUACUGGAUAUUCACUGGUCUUCGCAUGGGGGUUGGUGGAAAGGGUUUUUCUGGUGGGGGAUGGGCUCGCGGCCUAUCAGCUUGUUGGUGGGGUGAUGGCCUACCAAGGCUUUGACGGGUAGCCGGCCUGAGAGGGUGACCGGUCACGUUGGGACUGAGAUACGGCCCAGACUCCGACGGGAGGCAGCAGUGGGGAAUAUUGCGCAAUGGGCGCAAGCCUGAUGCAGCGACGCCGCGUGAGGGAUGGAGGCCUUCGGGUUGUGAACCUCUUUCGCUCAUGGUCAAGCCGCAACAAUGGUUGUGGUGAGGGUAGUGGGUAAAGAAGCGCCGGCUAACUACGUG
Molecule: ribosomal RNA, 483 nt
Filed under: uncultured bacterium
Lineage: Bacteria
Description: partial 16S ribosomal RNA
Rfam family: Bacterial small subunit ribosomal RNA
Source: RNAcentral